GCAGCCACUCAUUCAAAGAGUGCGUAAUAGCUCACUGGUCGAGUGAUCCUGCGCCGAAGAUUUCCGGGGCUAAAACUUACUACCGAAGCUACGGCAUCAGUAAUGAUGGGUAGGGGAGCUUCCCAUAUGGGUUGAAGCAUGACCGUAAGGACAUGUGGACAGUAUGGGAGUGAGAAUGUUGGCAUGAGUAGCGAGAUGUGGGUGAGAAGCCCACAGGCCGUAAACCCAAGGUUUCCAGGGGAAGGUUCGUCCGCCCUGGGUUAGUCGGGACCUAAGCUGAGGCCGAAAGGCGUAGGUGAUGGACAACAGGUUGAUAUUCCUGUACUACCGAUAACCGUUUGAGAGAAGGGAUGACACAGUAGGAUAAGCUAAGCACACUGUUGGUUAU
Molecule: ribosomal RNA, 388 nt
Filed under: Clostridioides difficile
Lineage: Bacteria; Bacillati; Bacillota; Clostridia; Peptostreptococcales; Peptostreptococcaceae
Description: bacterial LSU rRNA
Rfam family: Bacterial large subunit ribosomal RNA
Source: RNAcentral